AGAAUCAACGCUGGCGGCGUGCCUAACACAUGCAAGUCGAACGCGAAAGGGGCUUCGGCCCUGAGUAGAGUGGCGAACGGGUGAGUAACACGUGGGUGAUCUACCUUUGAGUGGGGGAUAACGUCCCGAAAGGGACGCUAAUACCGCAUGACGUUCUGGGUUUAAAGACCUGGAAACCAAAGCCGGGGACCGCAAGGCCUGGCGCUUGAAGAGGAGCCCGCGUCCGAUUAGCUAGUUGGCGGGUAACGGCCCACCAAGGCGACGAUC
RNAcentral lists this ribosomal RNA (267 nucleotides) under uncultured soil bacterium. RNAcentral describes it as "partial 16S ribosomal RNA". It matches the Rfam family "Bacterial small subunit ribosomal RNA", at positions 26 to 281 of the family's 1533-position model. The record is from RNAcentral.